AUGGCUAGCGGCGGCGGCGGCGACCGGCGGCGGGGCUCGUGCCGGGCCAAGGGGAAGAAGAAGAAGAAGACCAAGUACCUCAGCCUCAGCCGCCACCUCGCCAAGGCGGUGGAGGUCCACAGGCCUGCUGAAUCUCUGUCGGUGGAGGAUUCCUUGCCGCCACCCUCGGCGUUGCCGUCCCCGUCCACGGAGGAGGCGGUGGAGGAUGGAUGCGGGCACGAGCAGCAGCAGCUCGAGCCGUUCACGCUGCAUCCUGAGGCGCCUUCGACUCUCUUCGCGGCGGCGCCGUCGCUCACUGACAUCCUCGGCGUGUCCUCCUCCUCCUUUUCCGGCGGCGGCGAAAGGGGUUCACCGUCGUGCACCCUCUCCCCGGACGCCUCCGCGGGGACUGCUGGCGGGAAGGAGGAGGACCUUGCGCGGCGCGCGCUCCGGGGGAGGGAGCGGUGGGUGUACUGCAGGAGCAGCUCCUCUUCGCCGAGCGCGGCCACUGCGACGACCACCACCUCAUCCUCCUGCUCGUCGGCCGCGAGCACGGGCGCCGCCUCCGCGCGGUCGCCGCUGCUCAAGCUGGACUACGACGAGAUCCUGGCCGCCUGGGCGGGCCGCGGGUCCCUCUUCAUCGGCGGCACCGCGAGCCACGUCACGCCCAAGCUGGAGCUCGAUUCUGAGGUGUUCGUGGAUGUGGCGCCGCCGCCGCAGGCGGCGACGUGGAGCUCGCCGGAGGUGUCCGGGAGGGCGGAGAGGGUGAGGCGGUAUAAGGAGAAGCGACAUGCCCGGCUGUUCUCGAAGCGGAUCCGGUACGAGGUUCGCCGGCUCAAUGCCGUCAGGCGGCCGCGCUUGAAGGGUCGUUUCAUCAAGGAGAAGGAAGGUGUUGCAAUGGCCGAUUGA
Molecule: ribosomal RNA, 888 nt
Filed under: Triticum aestivum (bread wheat)
Lineage: Eukaryota; Viridiplantae; Streptophyta; Magnoliopsida; Poales; Poaceae
Description: partial small subunit ribosomal RNA
Source: RNAcentral